Molecule: transfer RNA, 73 nt
Filed under: Loxodonta africana (African savanna elephant)
Lineage: Eukaryota; Metazoa; Chordata; Mammalia; Proboscidea; Elephantidae
Rfam family: tRNA
About the family: Transfer RNA (tRNA) molecules are approximately 80 nucleotides in length. Their secondary structure includes four short double-helical elements and three loops (D, anti-codon, and T loops). Further hydrogen bonds mediate the characteristic L-shaped molecular structure. tRNAs have two regions of fundamental functional importance: the anti-codon, which is responsible for specific mRNA codon recognition, and the 3' end, to which the tRNAs corresponding amino acid is attached (by aminoacyl-tRNA synthetases). tRNAs cope with the degeneracy of the genetic code in two manners: having more than one tRNA (with a specific anti-codon) for a particular amino acid; and 'wobble' base-pairing, i.e. permitting non-standard base-pairing at the 3rd anti-codon position.
Source: Rfam by way of RNAcentral
AGCACCAUGGCUUAGCUGGUUAAAGCACUGUCUAGUAAACAGGUGAUCCUGGGUUUGAAUCCCAGUGGUGCCU